UGGGGAAUUUUGCACAAUGGGGGAAACCCUGAUGCAGCGACGCCGCGUGAUUUAGAAGGCCUUCGGGUUGUAAAAAUCUUUUUUACGGGAUGAAAAUGACAGUACCGUAAGAAUAAGGUCCGGCCAAAUACGUGCCAGCAGCCGCGGUAAUACGUAUGGACCGAGCGUUGUCCGGAAUCAUUGGGCGUAAAGGGUACGUAGGCGGCCUAGUAAGUUAGAAGUGAAAUAAUAUAGCUCAACUAUAUAAAGCUUUUAAAACUGCUAGGCUUGAGAGAUGGAAGGGAAAGUGGAAUUCCUAGUGUAGCGGUGAAAUGCGCAGAUAUUAGGAAGAAUACCGGUGGCGAAGGCGACUUUCUGGUCAUCAUCUGACGCUGAGGUACGAAAGCGUGGGUAGCAAACAGG
This 402-nucleotide ribosomal RNA is filed under the name bacterium. RNAcentral's name for it is "partial 16S ribosomal RNA". It matches the Rfam family "Bacterial small subunit ribosomal RNA", at positions 355 to 776 of the family's 1533-position model. The record is from RNAcentral.